Long non-coding RNA from Rhincodon typus (whale shark), 603 nucleotides. RefSeq lists it as uncharacterized. Lineage: Eukaryota; Metazoa; Chordata; Chondrichthyes; Orectolobiformes; Rhincodontidae. The record is from RefSeq and is a predicted model, not a curated record. The transcript has 2 exons.
GCUGCCUGCGAAGUUUGCAUGCUCUUGCUGCUGAUCGAUCACCGUUUUACUGGCAUUGAAAUUCCAAAGGCUCUCCCAUCAAGGUUACGCGCAUUAUUAGCCCUCGAAUGCAUUAUACUUCAAAGCAUGCCCAGCAGAAUGCAGCAGGAAUUUGUUCAAGAUGCACGUACUGUUCCUUUCCGGACCUGCAGCGCCAUUUAAGAGUUACCGCGAGUCUGCCAUGGGGAGUAAUAGCGCGUCCCGUUCAGCGCAGCAGCUUCUUUCUCAGAUUUUCUGAGUGCUGACAGAUGUAUCCAUGGGGUGUGAACUUAAGAAGAUUUUUCUUCGAAAUGUGAUUAAUUCCUUUUUGCCUUUGUUUCGUUUAUUCUGUUGGUGUUAAUGUUAAAAUCUGGCACCACUUAUUUUAUGUAAGUUAAUAAAGGCAAUAUUAAUUGACUUUUCUGGAGCCUUGGUCUAUGCCACGGGCAAUGUUAGUGGAAGUUUUAAAACACAACUUUCUUGUUGUUUUUGUGGAGUCAUAAAAUAAAGAUCCUGGAUUCUUUUAUUUUUCUUCCUCUUCUUCUUCAAUAAAUACUGUUAUGAAAAAGUAAAUAACGACACUGA